GUUGGCGGCGAUAGCACAUUAAAUGCACCAGUUCCCGUUGGAUCACUAAAGUUCAGCAACGUUGCGCGUGGUUGGUACCUGAAUGGGUGACCAUUUGUUCAAAGCUCGAGAUCCAUCC
This 118-nucleotide ribosomal RNA is filed under the name Diaphorina citri (Asian citrus psyllid). Lineage: Eukaryota; Metazoa; Arthropoda; Insecta; Hemiptera; Psyllidae. The record is from RNAcentral.